CCUGAGUCCCUCCUUCACUGCUUCAUCAUUAUUCUUUUUUGACGGAUGUGGAUCGGACGGGUUUUAUUCGCAACAGACGAUCCCUCUGGACUGGACCAUUUGAAGGACUGCUUGCAGGACAUAAAAGAGUGGAUGUCAAAAUUUCCUGCAGCUCAAUGACAGAGUGAAAUUCUUCCGUUCGGGAACUCCAACCCCCCAACUCUGCACAAUAGCCAAGAUCAAGUCCGUCCUCUCCCCCAGUGACUUAGAGGGUCGUGUUCAUGCUCAUCUUCUGCAGACUGGACUAAUGGAAUGCCCUCUAUGCUGGGGUCACUGACAAGACCAUAUAUAGCAUGCAGUUGCUACAAAAUGCUGGUGACAGGCACAAAAAUGAGGGAACACAUUUCUCCCAUCCUCUCCUCCCUUCACUGGCUCCUGGUGAAGCACAGAGUGAAAUUUAAGAUCCUUACGUAUGUCUUCAAAGCGCUCCGUGGUCUUACAUCAAACAUCUCCUGGGGUCAACCUAUCAGCUCCAGGCUUGGUCGUUGCCUCAGAUCUGACAACCAGAUGACCUUGAAGGUCCCACAGUCAAACCUAGUGACAAAGAGAGACUGUGCAUUGUCAAUGAUGGUACCUGGCCUAUGGAAUAAGCUCCCCCUGAAAGUCAAGUCCGCCACCACUCUGGACACUUUUAGAGCACAGCUUAAAACUCACCUCUUUGCCGCAAAUGACUUGAUUUGUGUUCGUGUGUCUUAAAUGUUUGUUCUAAAUUCCUUUUGUGUCCCUGUUUUUUUUUUUUUGUUUCUCCACUCAGGCUGCACCCCAGGCUGAUGUAAUGGUUGCUUGUGUGGGUGCAAUAAUUGAAAAUAACUACACUUUUUUUGUUUCUUCAAGGUCAAUUUUGUGGAGUCUGGUCUACAAUACAAAGUCUAUGUAUAUUUUCUUUUUUUUUAAUCUUUUUUUUUUAUCUUCAAGGUCAAUUUUGGGGGUCUAGUCAUCUACAAUACAACGUCAAAAUGUAUUUCAUUUGUCAUGGUUUUUGUUAUCUACAAGGUCAAUUUUAAGGAGUCUGUUCAUCUACAGUGCAAGGUCAAUUUGUAUUUUAUUUGUCAUGGUUUUUAACUACAAGGUCAGUAUGUAUUCAACUUGUGUCCUCAUGGUUUUUGUUAACUACAAGGUCAAUUUUGGGGGGGAAGGGGAGUCGGACGAAUAAAAUACAUAUCGACCUUGUAUUGUAGAUGACCAGACUCCCCUUCCCCCCCACAAAUUGACCUUGUAGUUAACAAAAACCAUCAGGACACAAAUAAAAUACACAUUUACCUUGUAUUGUAGAUGACCAAAGUUUGUUAACUACAAGGUCAAUUUGUGGGGGUUUUUUUUUGUCAUUGUUUUUGUUUCCUCAUGGUUUUUGAUAUCUACAAUACAAGGUAAAUGUUUUUUUUUUUCUAAUGUUUUUUAUCUUCAAGGUCAAUUUUGUGGGGACUAGUCAUCUAUAAUACAGGGUCAGUAUGUAUUUGUGUCAUGGUUUUUAACUACAAGGUCAGUAUGUAUUUAACCUGUGUCACUGUUUUUGUUUCCUCAUGGUUUGUGAUAUCUACAAUACAAGGUCAAUAUGUAUUUCAUUUGUCAAGGUUUUUGUUAUCUACAAGGUAAAUUUUAAGGAGUGUGGGUAUCAAAAAUACAAGGUAAAUUUGUAUUUUAACUACAAGGUCAGUCUGUAUAUUGUGUCAUUGUUUUUGUUUCCUCAUGUUUUUUUGUAUCUACAAUACAAGGUCAAUGUAUAUUUUAUUUGUGUCAUGGUUUCUAUUAACAAGGUCUAUUUUGGGGGGUGUCUCAUCUCUAAUACAAGGUCAAUAUGUCUUUUUUUUUUGUCAUGGUUUUUAACUACAAAGUCAAUAUUUAAUUUGCCAUGUUUUUUGUUAUCUACAAGGUCAAUUUUAAAGAAUCUGGUCAUCUACAAUACAAGGUAAAUUUGUAUUUUAUUUGUCAUGGUUUUUGUUACAAGGUUGGUAUGUAUUUUGGGCUUUUUUUGUUUUGUUUCCUCGUGGUUUUUGAUAUCUACAAUCCAAGGUUAAUAUCUAUUAGGUCAAGUUUAAGAUGUCAGGUCAUCUAUAAUACAAGGUAAAUUUUGUAUUUAAUUAGUGUCCAUGGAUUUUGUUGUCUACAAGGUCAAUUUUAAGGAGUCUUGUCUUCUACAAUACAAGGUAAAUUUGUAUUUUAUUUGUCCUCAUGGUUUUUGUUACUACAAGGUCGGUAUGUAUUUUGGGCCUUUUUUUGUUUCCUCAUGGUUUUUGAUAUCUACAAUACAAGGUUAAUAUGUAUUUCAUUUGUCAUGGUUUUUGUUAUCAGGUCAUUUUUAAGAAGUCUGGUAAUCUACAAUACAAGGUAAAUAUUUUAUUUGUCAUGGUUUUUGUUAACUACAAGGUCAAUUUGCGGGGUUUUGGUCUUAUACAAUAAAAGGUCAGUAUGUAUUUAGUUUGUGUUUUUUGUUUCCUCAUGUUUUUGAUAUCUACAAUUCGUUUAUUUUGUGUCAUCAUGGUUUCUAUUAACUACAAGGUCAAUUUUGGGUUCUGGUCAUUUUCAAUCCAAGUUCGAUUUGUAUUUAAUUUGUGUCCUUUUCGUCCUCAAGGUCACUUUUGCGGGUCUGGUCAUCUACAAUACAAGGUCAAUAUGUAUUUCAUUUGUCAUGGUUUCUAUUAAUUACAUGUUUGGGGGGCUCUGGUCAUGUACAAUGCAAGGUAAAUUUGUAUUUAAUUAGUGUUCAUGGAUUUAGUUGUCUACAAGGUCAAUUUUAAGGAGUCUUGUCUUCUACAAUACAAGUUAAAUUUGUAUUUUAUUUGUCAUGGUUUUUGUUAUUACAAGGUCGGUAUGUAUUUGGGCCUUUUUUUUUUUUCCUCAUGGUUUUUGAUAUCUACAAUACAAGGUUAAUAUGUAUUUCAUUUGUCAUGGUUUUUGUUAUCUACAAGGUCAAUUUGAAGGAGUCUGUUCAUCUACAAUACAAGGUAAAUUUGUAUUUUAUUUGUGUCAUGGUUUUUAACUACAAGGUCAGUAUGUAUUUAACUUGUGUCACUGUUUUUGUUUCCUCAUGGUUUUUGAUAUCUACAAUCCAAGGUUAAUAUGUAUUUCAUUUGUCAUGGUUUUUAUUAACAAGGUCAAUUUUGGGGGGUGGGGGAUCAUCUAUAAUACAAGGUCAAUAUGUAUUUUUUUUUGUCAUGGUUUUUAACUACAAAGUCAAUAUGUAAUUUGUCAUGUUUUUUGUUAUCUACAAGGUCAAUUUUAAAGAAUCUGGUCACCUACAAUACAAGGUAAAUUUAUUUUAUUUGUGUCAUGGUUUUUAACUACAUGGUCAGUAUGUAUUUAACCUGUGUCACUGUGUUUCCUCAUGGUUUGUGAUAUCUACAAUACAAGGUCAAUAUGUAUUUAAUUUGUCAUGAUUUUUGUUAUCUACAAGGUAAAUUUUAAGGAGUGUGGGCAUCAAAAAUACAAGGUAAAUUUGUAUUUUAACUACACGGUCAGUACGUAUAUUGUCAUUGUUUUUGUUUCCUCAUGGUUUUUGAUAUCCUCUAAUACAAGGUCAAUGUAUAUUUUAUUUGUGUCAUGGUUUCUAUUAACAAGGUCAAUUUUGGGGGGUGUCUGAUCAUCUAUAAUACGAGGUCAAUAUGUAUUUUUUUUUGUCAUGGUUUUUAACUACAAAGUCAAUAUGUAAUUUGUCAUGUUUUUUGUUAUCUACAAGGUCAAUUUUAAAGAGUCUGGUAAUCUACAAUACAAGGUCAAUUUGUAUUUUAUUUGUCAUGGUUUUUGUUACUACAAGGUUGGUAUGUAUUUCGGGACUUUUUUUUUUUAGGGUUAGGGUUUGGCCUUUGUUUUAAUGUUUUUGAUAUCUACAAUAAGUUUAUGUAUUUUGUCGUCAUGGUUUCUAUUAACUACAAGGUCAAUUUUGGGGCUCUGGUCAUCUACAAUCCAAGUUCGAUUUGUAUUUAAUUUGUGUCCUUUUUAUCUUCAAGGUCACUUUUGCACGUAUGGUCAUCUACAAUACAAGGUCACUAUGUAUUUCAUUUGUCAUGGUUUCUAUUAAUUACAAGGUCAAUUUUGGGGGGCUCUGGUUAUCUACAAUACAAAGUAAAUAUGUAUUUUUUGCCAUGGUAUUUAUCUACAAGGUCAAUUUUGGGGGUCUGGUUAUCUAAUACAAGGUCAAUAUGAAUUUUAUUUGUGUCUCGUGGUUUUUAUCUACAAGGUCAAUUUUGGGGGUCUGGUCAUCUACAAUACAAGGUCAAUAUGUAAUUCCUUUGUCAUGGUUUUUGUUAUCUACAAGGUCAAUUUUAAGGAGUCUGGUCUUCUACAAUACAAGGUCAGUAUGUAUUUAAUUUGUGUCCUCAUGGUUUUUGUUUUCUACAAGGUCAAUUUUAGGGGUCUUGUCAUCGACAAUACAUGUUAAAUAUGUAUUUUAAUUUGUGUCAUCAUGGUUUUUGAUAUCUACAAGGUCAAUUUUGGAGUCUGGUUAUCUACAAUACAAACUCAAUAUGUAUAUAAUUUGUGUCCUCAUGGUGUUUUGUUUCCUCAGUUUUUGAUAUCUACAAGGUCAAAAUUGGUUUAUUCCACUAUGCAAUGCAACACUCUUACCUAAUGUUAUCCAUUUAUUCAUUCAUGUGACUAAUUUCUCAUUCUUACACCCUGCAGCGCUACAACAGUACACAAGUCUUACACAAUGUGUUAUGGGUCACGUUCCUGCUUCUCCUCCUGCUGUGCGGACUGAGUGCAUGGCGGAGCACAUCAACAGGUGUUCCCUCUCCGCUGCGGGUGUGCCUCUGCAAGAGAUCUGCAAUCAACACACCUGCCGGUGAUGAGCAACCAGCCUUCAUAAGCCAGCGCGUCUUGAGAUCCGGUGCCAGAACGUAGUUUCUCCUACCAGUACACUUCCUCUUCGUCUACCUGGACCCCCUUUUGGAUUCCUUCUUGCCUUCCUGGACCAAGACCUCGCUCCUGCCUUCUGACGUCCAAGCCUUUUUCUUCUUUUGGACUUCCACCUCUAUCUCAACACGCACACUCAACACCCUCUGGUGACCACGCUCGGAUAAUACUUACACAUAGUCACACUCCAUCUCUUUAAGGUAAUCACACACUGC
Molecule: long non-coding RNA, 5102 nt
Organism: Nerophis ophidion (straightnose pipefish)
Lineage: Eukaryota; Metazoa; Chordata; Actinopteri; Syngnathiformes; Syngnathidae
Exons: 3
Source: RefSeq, a predicted model, not a curated record